This 74-nucleotide transfer RNA is filed under the name Patulibacter sp. RNAcentral's name for it is "tRNA-Arg". It matches the Rfam family "tRNA". From Rfam's summary of the family: Transfer RNA (tRNA) molecules are approximately 80 nucleotides in length. Their secondary structure includes four short double-helical elements and three loops (D, anti-codon, and T loops). The record is from RNAcentral. Lineage: Bacteria; Bacillati; Actinomycetota; Thermoleophilia; Solirubrobacterales; Patulibacteraceae. RNAcentral also lists the same sequence under 1 other name.
GCCCCUGUAGCUCAGCUGGAUAGAGCAGCGGCCUUCUAAUCCGCAGGUCCUUGGUUCGAAUCCAAGCGGGGGCG